This 525-nucleotide ribosomal RNA is filed under the name Paecilomyces variotii. Its description in RNAcentral is "partial large subunit ribosomal RNA". It matches the Rfam family "Eukaryotic large subunit ribosomal RNA", at positions 82 to 610 of the family's 3401-position model. Lineage: Eukaryota; Fungi; Ascomycota; Eurotiomycetes; Eurotiales; Thermoascaceae. The record is from RNAcentral.
AGUAACGGCGAGUGAAGCGGCAAGAGCUCAAAUUUGAAAUCUGGCCCCUCCGGGGUCCGAGUUGUAAUUUGCAGAGGAUGCUUCGGGCGCGGUCCCCGUCUAAGUACCCUGGAACGGGUCGUCAUAGAGGGUGAGAAUCCCGUCUGGGACGGGUGGCCGUGUCCGUGUGAAGCUCCUUCGCCGAGUCGAGUUGUUUGGGAAUGCAGCUCUAAAUGGGUGGUAAAUUUCAUCUAAAGCUAAAUAUUGGCCGGAGACCGAUAGCGCACAAGUAGAGUGAUCGAAAGAUGAAAAGCACUUUGAAAAGAGAGUUAAACAGCACGUGAAAUUGUUGAAAGGGAAGCGCUUGCGACCAGACUCGCCCGCGGGGGUUCAGCCGGUACUCGUACCGGUGUACUCCCCCGGGGGCGGGCCAGCGUCGGUUUGGGCGGUCGGUCAAAGGCCUCCGGAAUGUGUCGCCCCCCGGGGCGUCUUAUAGCCGGAGGUGCAAUGCGGCCAGCCUGGACCGAGGAACGCGCUUCGGCUCGG